This is a long non-coding RNA of Carcharodon carcharias (great white shark), 656 nucleotides long. RefSeq lists it as uncharacterized. NCBI's taxonomy places the organism in Eukaryota, Metazoa, Chordata, Chondrichthyes, Lamniformes, Lamnidae. The transcript has 3 exons. The record is from RefSeq and is a predicted model, not a curated record.
GUGACCGUCUGGGCUCCGGAACGGGUGCGCAUGCGCGGGCAUUCCGGCCCGCUCUCUGUGAGAUGGGAUUUGAGGGCAAGUGGUCAGUUUGGGUAGCUUCAAUGCUCCCUGAUGAUUUACACUAAAAGAGUUGAUCGUUAAAAAGGAUGCCAUUUAAAAUUGCACCUUCGUCCUGUAAUAUUUUAUGGUCAGCUUUUUUUCUUAAAUUAUGCUUUCCCAUUUAGCUUAGUAUACGUGUCCACUGGAAGUUUCUGCAAUUUUAGGCACGAUAGCGAAGCGUCAUUAUCAAAUCAAAAUCGAUAAUUUUAAUAGAAGUUUCUAGUUAUUGAUCUUAGAUUGAACAAACUCAAUUUAUUGGAGACUCCUUGCCUCGGGUGAUCACGUGGAUAUUUGAGAAGUACGGAGUAAUACUUUCAAUCAUCAGUCUGUAUUAGAUAGAACUCUUCUCUUCACACAAUCCUACCGAUGACUAAAAUUAACUUGCGGGACAUGGAUCCAAACUGACCUUCAUGGAUUUCCACUGUUUUUCUUGGUAUCUAGUCUAUGACCCUAUCCUAUAUCUUGAAGAUCUUUGAGCUUCCACCACCUGAUGUUCUGUCUAACAGCAAGUAAGAGGCACAACAUUAGAACAAAGAACAAAGAAAAGUACAGCACAG